RNAcentral lists this long non-coding RNA (642 nucleotides) under Apteryx rowi (Okarito brown kiwi). Its description in RNAcentral is "lncRNA (ENSARWG00000013978.1)". Lineage: Eukaryota; Metazoa; Chordata; Aves; Apterygiformes; Apterygidae. The record is from RNAcentral.
GGGAAAAGGUCUUACUGGAUCGGCCUCACCAAAGUGGAGAAAGAAGGCACCUGGCGCUGGGUGGACGGCACCAAGUACAGCGAAAACGCGAGUUUCUGGGCGCCAGGGCAGCCGGACAACACGGACUACGGRCCAAGCGGCAGAGAAGAGUGCGCUCAGAUACACCCCGUGGGAAACGGCCUCUGGAAUGACCAUAACUGCAACGUCUCCUUCUUGUGGAUCUGCAAGAGGCACUUGGACACGGCUGGGCUGUGACGGGGAGGGUCCCACCUGGGAAUACCAUGCCGAGCAUGCCAAGAACUUGCUCUCAGCGAARGGCCGCUGUUUCCUAAGGAACACAGCUCCGGUUGGAGUCCUCCGGCUGCAGGUGGACGCAGUCCUCCUCCGGCGCUGUCCCGUCAUCCCAGUUGUCCGGCUGCCCUGGCGCCCAGAAACUGCCGGGGCAGGAGACUGGUCACCGCUCGGAGGAGGCUGCCCGGGCCUCCAGCGUCGCGUCGCCACCGGCCCGGCCGAGGAAMGGGAGACGCCGCCGCGGAGCGCCGCGACCGCCCCGUCGUGGCUCCGGGCCGGGGCAGAGCCGGGCGCUGCCCCGCAGCUCCGCUCACCUCGCGUUUUCGCUGUACUUGGUGCCGUCCACCCAGC